This is a long non-coding RNA of Nerophis lumbriciformis (worm pipefish), 1306 nucleotides long. RefSeq lists it as uncharacterized. The record is from RefSeq and is a predicted model, not a curated record. Lineage: Eukaryota; Metazoa; Chordata; Actinopteri; Syngnathiformes; Syngnathidae.
GUGGCCGGUUGCACGCCGCUUAUAUAAGCCCGACCUGGUAAAAUUCCACAAAGCCGGCGCCUCUCUCCUCCACGUUCCUCCAAGUGUUCACGCUCUAAAGCGUCACACAAUUUUCUCACUGUUUCUCGCUCUUGGGAUGUUUUUACAGCUGCUUUUACAACAGUGGGGGCUGCCUCACAUCAAAUGCGACUGUGCCUUUAAGAGAUCCACGCCGUCUUCGAAUACACUGCGUGCCAUUGUUUUCGGUGGGCCCGAGCCCCGAGUGGACGAGGGAAGCCUCUGUGGCCACUGAGGGACGGGAAAUCUCUUCAUUUAAUUUAUGUGCAUUAUUUUCACUUGCAGUGCAACGGAAAUAGGAACACUUGUGAAACUUCAAAAUUGAAAUAGAAAAACGCAGCAGGAAAGAAAACUGAGAUUACGCAUUGAUGAGUCACAGAUGAGACGGAUGAGAACUACUGUAUCAGUUUGCUUUGCCUUGUAAGACAAAACCACCACUUAAAGAGGUAUAUACACAUAUGGCGCAGAAUCAAAGUGUCACAUGUCCACCUCUGCUCGAUCACUUAUCCAUCCAUCCAUCCAUGAAUUCCAAGUGCACCGAGCGUAUCGUCAACAAAGAGGUCGAGAUCUGAUGGGCCCGUCCGGGGGGGGAUGCAAUGCAUUUGUUCUGUCUGGAAACGGAGCUGACAAUUGAGUGAGCAAUAUCGCAGCUGUGCAUUUCGCCAGGUUUUUUCCAUGUUUCCACUAUCAACCGCGAGAAUCAUAUCACACGCCUCGCCCUGGUGCACGAGGACAUUGCGUCUGAGAGUGUGCAUGUCAAACAAGGACAAAUGUAGCCAACUUGAAUCACUGCACCGAUCUAAGAAAUGAUGUAAUUUCCACCUCUUUUGCAUGUCUAUAGAUUAGUCUACAGGUCAGUACACAGGCAGGAGAAGCAACUCUGAAAAGCGACUUUACUGUAGCUUAAUUUAGAUUGGAAGCUGUUUCGUAGUAAUUACUACGAAACAGCUUCCAAUCGGUUCUGUGUUGAAUUUGCAAUUAUUAAUACUUGCAGGAAGUGACGGCGAAGAAGAGCAAAGGGAAGUGUACAAAGGAAAUGGACAGUGAGAUGAGUGACCAGGAAGUGAAGAAUAAGAAAACAGGGAAAGGGAAAAGAACCAAGCAAACGCUAAUGAGACCAGUGAGCAUUGAGCAGGAAGAGAACCAACAAGAAGGGGCAGGAGUACACUGACGCGCACGACCAAGACCACAGCAUUCCAUUUCUAUUGUAUUAUAAUUAUCACUAAUAAAGAAUUAUUGUUGAAUUUUC